This 67-nucleotide transfer RNA is filed under the name Smutsia temminckii (ground pangolin). RNAcentral's name for it is "Manis temminckii (ground pangolin) tRNA-Trp". The record is from RNAcentral. Lineage: Eukaryota; Metazoa; Chordata; Mammalia; Pholidota; Manidae.
AGAAAUUUAGGUUACAACUAGACCAAGAGCCUUCAAAGCCCUAAGCAAGUAUCAAAACUUAAUUUCU